Manis javanica (Malayan pangolin) is the source of this 4194-nucleotide long non-coding RNA. RefSeq lists it as uncharacterized. NCBI's taxonomy places the organism in Eukaryota, Metazoa, Chordata, Mammalia, Pholidota, Manidae. The record is from RefSeq and is a predicted model, not a curated record.
UCUGCUCGAGCACUCUCCCGACUCCCACCAGCCUGCGAGGUUUCUCCAGCAGGACGUGGCCCAGGAACCAGUACAGGCCGGCCGGGGUCUGGCCCACGUCCCGGCGCCGCCGGGUGUGUCACCGCGUGUCACCCCCCGCCCGGCCUGUCACCUCUCCCGGCCGCGGCCGGCCCAGACUUGAAGUUCCCGCCCCAAGGCCGUCCCGGGGCGGCUGUCGACCUUCCUCUACCCCGCGCCCAGAAAGGCUGCUCGGAAACUGCUGCGUCAGAACGGUUCGGGGUCGGCAGUCGGAGCCAGCUUUAAUUCGGGAGAGCCCUCCAGGCGAGCAGGCGGACCGUCGGGUUUGUUCACCUGUUCCGCCCGCUGCGGAUCGCACGGCGACCUCACAGCUCUGCAGAUGAACCUUGUUUAACCCAAUAAUAAACUCGAAAACCAAGCCCUGCUUAAGUACCUGAAAGGAAAGAAGUUACUCUUCGUUUCUCCUCUAAGACAAGUGGAUGGAUGAAGGUGAGAUACAGCUGCUUGUGAGGUACUGUUUUUUGUUUUUUGUUUGCCUGUUGCAUAAGACAUUAUCAUGCUCUGCAUGCUCCCUGUUGCAGUAGGAAAUACAUGACCCCUCAGUCCCAGCUCAUGGUUCAGAUCCUCAGAAGGAGACAAUGUUGAGAACCAGUGUGGCAGUCAAGUUCUAAAAAGACUGAGAGGUUAGGAACUCCUUGCUCAGACCUCAAGUCAGGUAGUACCAAUUAAACUGUCCUGAUGCAUUCACCCUGCAUAGCAUUUGUGUUGUACUGUAGUUUAUUUUAGUGUGGAUCUGUCUCCCCCACUAGAUGCUCAGAGAUUCUUAAUCUUGGAUUCUCUAGCACUCACCACAGUACCUCACACAUACUAGGAGCAAAACAAAUGUCUGUCUCCCCAUUCGCACUGUUUACUGAAUCUGUAGGCUCGGGGAGAAAAGGAGCACAGUGCAGUGGGUGGGAGACUGAAACCUUUCACCAGAAGCUCUCCAAUGGGUGUGUCUAAAUUUAGAGGCAGCAUCUGGGCCUAAACAUCCUCCCUGCCCGCUCCCCAGAAUGCUUUCACUGAAUCUGCCACCCCAGAUAUCCAAAACCCAAGGAUGGAGGGGAUUGCACACCGGAAGCAGGGUCCAGGGUCAUCCAUAAAUCAAAAUGCUGAUGCAGUUUUCACUAAUGGCUCUUGCUCGCCUAUUCCUGUCAGCCAGAGGGAAAGAAGUGUUCAUUGAAUUAAAUAAUUUGUUUCCGUCAAGGAAAUUUUUUUUAAUUUUGUGGUUAGCUGUAGUAUAAUACCACUAGCAGGCUGCUUUUUAAUGUACUAAAACAAUAAAAAAUAAAGUAUUUAAAGGCUUUUGCAUAAGUGUUCUGAUAUGGAAUGCUGCUGAGACUGUGAAAGUUAAAGAAAAACAAAUAGGCCUGGGUGGGAACAUGUCAUCGAUUCAGCAAGUUCACACAAUUUAGAGAAGUGCCCCUUAGGUACUCUGGUCAGACUUACUUAUUCUAAUUUUAGAUGCAUUUCAAAUGGGUGUGGUUUUGGUUAAAUGGUUUCCCAGGCCACAGUAAGUCAGAGAUAGCAAGUGAGAUAAGAGUUGGAGCCAGGCCCUCUGACACAUCAAGAAGUAACAGCAGGCAGCCUCGCCAUGAGUAAAGAGGCUGAAAAACCUAUAAAGAGCAGAUACAAAAACACAAAAAGAAUUUGGUGCAGGUUCCAGUACUCCCAGAUGACAUGCAUAGUGCGAAGUGAUGUUUAUGAUGAUGACCCUGAAUUAUCCAGAAAGAACUAUGGAUGGGGCAUUUUUUUUUCUAAUACAUGUAUGAAACACUUUAGAGGACAUGUGUAACAGAUAGUAGUAAGCUUUCCACUAAAAUAACUUAAGAAAAAAGAGAAGAUAAACAAUGUUGGCUCUUGAACAUAGAAGCUUUGGUGUUUUCACUCACUGUUUCCUGGGGCAUAUAUCUGAGGCCGGAUAAAUUGGGUAUAAUUGAGUUCCGAAUUCUUAAAUACCGACUUUUAAAAUGGCAUAGUUUUCAAUUUGUUUGGAGUUUUUGAUAGGGAAUCACCGAACAAGUUCAAGAAACCCAUUUUUAAGACAAAUGUCCAACUCUUUUCUAGCAGCAUACUUUUAAAGUACAUGCUGCACAUUUUUUAGUAUAAAUCCUAUCCUAAUCUCAGAAAAUGUGAUAAUUUUCCAUAUCAAUCCCCUAUUAAGUUCUAUAAAGAACUAGAACUUACACUGGACUUUAGCAUGCACUGUAUAUCCAUUCUGAACUUAUGUAAAACAACACAGAAACAAUGGGUAGACCUAAAUAUAUUGACCCAAAGGUCUAGUAGAUAAAGAGGUUUUUUUGGUUUAGUGAAAAAUACAGAUUGCUCUCUGAAGAAAAAUAGUGUCAUCACAGUAGUAUAGCCAGCUUUUGGCAUUAUAAUGGUCUUAAGUCGUUCAUAAAGGCUCUGUUCAUUUCUGUCUAAAGUAAAAGGUCUUAGUUUGUUUGCCCAGUCAUGACUCCCCAGGACCUCAAAUGAUAAUCACCUUCCGUGGAGAGGUUCAGAAGUGACCUGUGGCAGUUCAGCAAUAGGCUGAGGCUUCUUUUAUAUACUUUUUGAAGAAAUCUCAGGUGAUGGCAAUAACCAAAAUUAUGGCCUCUAUGGCCAGUAACAGAGAACUAAAUGAAAAAUGCUUUUUAUGAUGGUAGGAACUAAAACUCCAGUCAUGGUUUAAAUAGCUAUUAGAAUGUAGUUUCUAGUGCCUUAAAAAUGUGCUUAGCUCUUUGGGGGUAAAAAGCCAUUGAUGAACUCAGUAUAAAGUUUGCUGAGUAAUAUAUGUAUGUAAAAUUAGUUGGUAUAAUACUAUAGGUAUAAAAGCAUUGACUCAAGAUUCACAUUUGUCUUAAAUUGAAAAAUCAUACAUACUACAAAGCAUUUAAGCUAAAAUUUUACUACUGCAGGUAUAGAACUGCCCUUUGUGAAUUAAUGACUCCAGUGUUUUAAUUCAUUAAAAUAAAUCAAUGACCAAAAUAAAUUUUCAGAUGCAAUAUAGACAAUAUUAUUUUGCAAUUCUUUUCUCACUAAUUUCAUCUUAUUACCAUGUUAGUAUAUAGGUAUUUGGACUAAAUAACUGUCCUAUAAAAUCUAGUUCAACCCUAACAUUUUUUAUAUUAUACCAAAAUUCUACAAAUACUUAAACAUUUUAUAAUCGUUUACUGUGCAUCUGUUUUGGUUGUGAAACUACUUUUAUUAAAAUAUGGCAUUAAAAUAUAGUUCAAAUUUUUAAAAAUGUUUUUCCCCCUUUAUGCUUUAGAUAGAUCAAAUAUUUUCCUAAAGCUCAAUACAUUACAAUGCUCAAAAGUCCUAUAUGGUUUCCUAAUGCUGAUUUUUAUUUCCUUUGUUCCUGUGGUUUUAUUCAUGAUCUUUCACAAAUGCUGCCCAAUCAAAUUCAGUUUUCUGGGUUUAAGAUGCUGGAGGGGGAAGUAGUUCACUGACAGAGGUAUACAAUAGAUCUGGCCUCUAGUGCUGGCUCCAAGAAGCUGUGUGACCUUAGGAAAAUGUUGGACAUCUCUGGGCCUUAUUUUCCUCAUUGUAAAACACAACGGGCUGGACAAGCUGACUUCUGAGGUGCCUUCUGGCUCCAUAUUCUAUGACUUCGCAGUUCCGUUGCCAUAAAGUCAGCAGAGGGAGCACUUUUUCUACAUCUCAUAAAUUUUGACUUAUUUCAACACCUUUGAAAAAUCAAGAGUUAUGUGAAGAACAUUACUGAAAGUAAAAACUGACAAUCCUUCAGAGUUCAUAUCAAAUCACAGAUUUGGUUAUAAAUUUGAGAGAAGUCCAAAAAUAAUUAUUUCUGUUCCUUGAUUUCCAUGAUAAAGUCCUACAAGAAAAUUAUUUUGUAAAGGUUAAGCAUAUACUUAGUAUAUAAGGUAUGCUAAGAAAUUAAGCACUAAAUUAAGAAAUUAAGUGGUAUUUAUAUGGAACCCAGUAAAAGAGAAAACCAGAUCGUACAGCAGAGGUUAUGUGGUGUCAAAGAUGAAAAGUGGAAAACUCAUCAGUCAUAAAAACAUUAGGCAGUUGGGUCUAACAUUAACAAACCACACAAGUGAUUUGUAGGGGAUUUUUUUGCACUUUUCAUUAAGAUACACUGGCAGCAAGUACGUAGACACAGUCAAAGCCUGAAGGCUUGCAAGAGAU